CACCUAUAAUGAUUAGUAAUAUAGGUGGAAUCCCAGCCGUCCGAUCUUUAUCGGGUGGUUCAAAAUACAUGUAACUAUAUGAAUUUUAAUCAUUUAUUUAGAAAUCAGAUUGAAAUGAAAUUUUGGGUGUAUAUACUUAACACCCUUGUGCAUCAUAUAAAAAUAUAAAAAAAUACUUUUCAGAAUUAAAAAUUACCAAAUUACCCCCAUCAUUUGUCAGGGAUAUAUAUUUUGGAAGAUAUUAUUCUAUAUUAUUUCUUGUAUUACCUAUUUUUAGUACACAUGCUCAAAAUUUCAUCACGAUCAGAUUUCUAAAAAAAAGAUUAAAGUUCUGAUAGUGAUAUGUAUUUUGGACCACCUGAUGAAGAUCAGACUGCUGGGAUUCCACCUAUAUUAUUAUUCAUAUAGGUG
Molecule: microRNA precursor, 411 nt
Filed under: Amborella trichopoda
Lineage: Eukaryota; Viridiplantae; Streptophyta; Magnoliopsida; Amborellales; Amborellaceae
Description: miR8553b stem-loop (atr-MIR8553b)
Source: miRBase by way of RNAcentral